UACAGAGGGGGCAAGCGUUGUUCGGAGUUACUGGGCGUAAAGAGUAUGUAGGCGGUUGGGUAAGGUUGGUGUGAAAUCUCCCGGCUUAACUGGGAGGGUGCGCUAAAGACUGCCUGGCUCGAGUGUGGGAGAGGAAAGCGGAAUUCCUGGUGUAGCGGUGAAAUGCGUAGAUAUCAGGAGGAACACCUGCGGUGUAGACGGCUUUCUGGACCAUAACUGACGCUGAGAUACGAAAGCGUGGGUAGCAAACAGG
This 253-nucleotide ribosomal RNA is filed under the name uncultured bacterium. Its description in RNAcentral is "partial 16S ribosomal RNA". It matches the Rfam family "Bacterial small subunit ribosomal RNA", at positions 524 to 776 of the family's 1533-position model. The record is from RNAcentral.